GAUGGGAAAUGUAGUCCCAGACAGUCAGUGCGGAUUGUUACUCCGUGCGCUAUGGCUCCCAGUGAUGGGAAAUGUAGUCCCAGACAGUCAGUGCGGAUUGUUACUCCGUGCGCUAUGGCUCCCAGUGAUGGGAAAUGUAGUCCCAGACAGUCAGUGCGGAUUGUUACUCCGUGCGCUAUGGCUCCCAGUGAUGGGAAAUGUAGUCCCAGACAGUCAGUGUGGAUUGCUACUCCGUGCACUAUGGCUCCCAGUGAUGGGAAAUGUAGUCCCAGACAGUCAGUGCGGAUUGUUACUCCGUGCGCUGUGGCUCCCAGUGAUGGGAAAUGUAGUCCCAGACAGUCAGUGCGGAUUGUUACUCCAAGCGCUAUGGCUCCCAGUGAUGGGAAAUGUAGUCACAGACAGUCAGUGCGGAUUGUUACUCCGUGCGCUAUGGCUCCCAGUGAUGGGAAAUGUAGUCCCAGACAGUCAGUGCGGAUUGAUACUCCGUGCGCUGUGGCUCCCAGUGAUGGGAAAUGUAGUCCCAGACAGUCAGUGCUGAUUGAUACUCCAGGUGCUCUGGCUCCCAGUGAUGGGAAAUGUAGUCCCAGACAGUCAGUGCGGAUUGUUACUCCAUGCGCUGUGGCUCCCAGUGAUGGGAAAUGUAGUCCCAGACAGUGCGGAUUGAUACUCCGUGCGCUAUGGCUCCCAGUGAUGGGAAAUGUAGUCCCAGACAGUCAGUGCGGAUUGUUACUCCGUGCGCUAUGGCUCCCAGUGAUGGGAAAUGUAGUCCCAGUCAGUCAGUGCGGAUUGAUACUCCGUGCGCAAUGGCUCUCAGUGAUGGGAAAUGUAGUCCCAGUCAGUCAGUGCGGAUUGAUACUCCGUGCGCUGUGGCUCUCAGUGAUGGGAAAUGUAGUCCCAGACAGUCAGUGCGGAUUGAUACUCCGUGCGCUGUGGCUCUCAGUGAUGGGAAAUGUAGUCCCAGACAGUCAGUGCGGAUUGAUACUCCAGGUGCUAUGGCUCCCAGUGAUGGGAAAUGUAGUCCCAGUCAGUCAGUGCGGAUUGUUACUCCAUGUGCUAUGGCUCCCAGUGAUGGGAAAUGUAGUCCCAGACAGUCAGUGCGGGUUGUUACUCCAUGUGCUAUGGCUCCCAGUGAUGGGAAAUGUAGUCCCAGACAGUCAGUGCGGAUUGUUACUCCAUGUGCUAUGGCUCCCAGUGAUGGGAAAUGUAGUCCCAGACAGUCAGUGCGGAUUGUUACUCCAUGCGCUAUGGCUCCCAGUGAUGGGAAAUGUAGUCCCAGACAGUCAGUGCGGAUUGAUACUCCAGGUGCUAUGGCUCCCAGUGAUGGGAAAUGUAGUCCCAGACAGUCAGUGCGGAUUGUUACUCCGUGCGCUAUGGCUCCCAGUGAUGGGAAAUGUAGUCCCAGUCAGUCAGUGCGGAUUGAUACUCCGUGCGCUAUGGCUCUCAGUGAUGGGAAAUGUAGUCCCAGUCAGUCAGUGCGGAUUGAUACUCCGUGCGCUGUGGCUCUCAGUGAUGGGAAAUGUAGUCUCAGACAGUCAGUGCGGAUUGAUACUCCGUGCGCUGUGGCUCUCAGUGAUGGGAAAUGUAGUCCCAGACAGUCAGUGCGGAUUGAUACUCCAGGUGCUAUGGCUCCCAGUGAUGGGAAAUGUAGUCCCAGACAGUCAGUGCGGAUUGUUACUCCAUGUGCUAUGGCUCCCAGUGAUGGGAAAUGUAGUCCCAGACAGUCAGUGCGGAUUGUUACUCCAGGUGCUGUGGCUCCCAGUGAUGGGAAAUGUAGUCCCAGACAGUCAGUGCGGAUUGUUACUCCGUGCGCUGUGGCUCCCAGUGAUGGGAAAUGUAGUCCCAGACAGUCAGUGCGGAUUGAUACCCCAGGUGCUAUGGCUCCCAGUGAUGGGAAAUGUAGUCCCAGACAGUCAGUGCGGAUUGUUACUCCAGGUGCUGUGGCUCCCAGUGAUGGGAAAUGUAGUCCCAGACAGUCAGUGCGGAUUGUUACUCCGUGCGCUAUGGCUCCCAGUGAUGGGAAAUGUAGUCCCAGACAGUCAGUACGGAUUGUUACUCCGUGCGCUAUGGCUCC
This 2071-nucleotide long non-coding RNA is filed under the name Pelobates cultripes (western spadefoot toad). The record is from RNAcentral. Lineage: Eukaryota; Metazoa; Chordata; Amphibia; Anura; Pelobatidae.